RNAcentral lists this ribosomal RNA (1136 nucleotides) under Phyllodistomum vaili. RNAcentral's name for it is "eukaryotic LSU rRNA". It matches the Rfam family "Eukaryotic large subunit ribosomal RNA", at positions 112 to 850 of the family's 3401-position model. Lineage: Eukaryota; Metazoa; Platyhelminthes; Trematoda; Plagiorchiida; Gorgoderidae. The record is from RNAcentral.
CACCGAAGCCUUUAGCUAUUUGGCUAUUUGGCAAUGUGGUGUUCAGGUUGGUUCGCAGAAGCACUGCUCCACUCCGAGUCCAGCAAUGAGUACGGUAUCCUGGACAUGGCCCACGGAGGGUGAAAGGCCCGUAGGGGUGGAGAUCUCUGGCCAGUGCCUCUCUGGAUUGACCUUGGAGUCGGGUUGUUUGUGAAUGCAGCCCAAAGUGGGUGGUAAACUCCAUCCAAGGCUAAAUACAAGCACGAGUCCGAUAGCAAACAAGUACCGUGAGGGAAAGUUGAAAAGUACUUUGAAGAGAGAGUAAACAGUGCGUGAAACCGCUCAGAGGUAAACGGGUGGAGUUGAACUGCGUUCCCCGUGAACUCAGCUGGUGAGGAUGAUAUGGGCUUGGUCAGAUUGGUUGAUAACUGAGGUAUGCUUAGCUGCAUGUUCCGACCCUCGGGUUGGUAUGUACGUUACGCUUGUCACGCGUUGUACGCCUUGGUUUUCUUCUGCCUCCUUGCCAGUGCACUUUCUCGGGGUGAUCACCAUUACCGGCGUUGCUGCCUGACUGCUCUAGUCGAACUGAUCUUGCACCGUCCUUGUGGCGUUGUUUGGUCGGGAUGGCAGGUAGCUCGUUGGCUUGCGUAUGCUUGCUUUCGGGCGUAUUCAGUUGAUUAGAGCGGGACUGUGCGGUACGUCGGAGCUGGCGGCUAGUUGUGCGUACCUGYGUCUUACGCCUUUCGAGAGUUCCUGGUCCGGUUAUUAUGUUGCCUGUUUUGGCAGGUCGAGUGAUGGCCGGGUUCUUUUCGUUUGGCGAUGAUGCGGGCGGCACUUCAGAGGGCCGAUAGUUUGUGGUGUUGUGGUAGACAUCCACCUGACCCGUCUUGAAACACGGACCAAGGAGAGUAACAUGUGCGCGAGUCACUGGGCGUAACGAAACCCAAAGGCGUAAUGAAAGUAAAUGCCUGGCUUGUCCAGGUUGAGGUGAGAUCCUGCCGUUUCUCACGCAUGGUACUACCAAGCAUUGAUCGGUAGGCGCAUCACCGGCCCGUCCCAUGGCGUGGAUAUGGUCAUUGAUUGUGCAGCGUCGGGGCGGAGCAUGAGCGUACAUGUUGAGACCCGAAAGAUGGUGAACUAUGCUUGCGCAGGUUGAA